GGUUAAGCGACUAAGCGUACACGGUGGAUGCCCUGGCAGUCAGAGGCGAUGAAGGACGUGCUAAUCUGCGAAAAGCGUCGGUAAGGUGAUAUGAACCGUUAUAGCCGGCGAUGUCCGAAUGGGGAAACCCAGUGUGAUUCGUCACACUAUCGUUAACUGAAUACAUAGGUUAACGAGGCGAACCGGGGGAACUGAAACAUCUAAGUACCCCGAGGAAAAGAAAUCAACCGAGAUUCCCCCAGUAGCGGCGAGCGAACGGGGAGCAGCCCAGAGUCUGAAUCAGCUUGUGUGUUAGUGGAACGGUCUGGAAAGUCCGACGGUACAGGGUGAUAGUCCCGUACACCAAAAUGCACAGGUUGUGAACUCGAAGAGUAGGGCGGGACACGUGGUAUCCUGUCUGAAUAUGGGGGGACCAUCCUCCAAGGCUAAAUACUCCUGACUGACCGAUAGUGAACCAGUACCGUGAGGGAAAGGCGAAAAGAACCCCGGCGAGGGGAGUGAAAAAGAACCUGAAACCGUGUACGUACAAGCAGUGGGAGCACCUUCGGGUGUGACUGCGUACCUUUUGUAUAAUGGGUCAGCGACUUAUAUUCUGUAGCAAGGUUAACCGUAUAGGGGAGCCGCAGGGAAACCGAGUCUUAACUGGGCGUUAAGUUGCAGGGUAUAGACCCGAAACCCGGUGAUCUAGCCAUGGGCAGGUUGAAGGUUGGGUAACACUAACUGGAGGACCGAACCGACUAAUGUUGAAAAAUUAGCGGAUGACUUGUGGCUGGGGGUGAAAGGCCAAUCAAACCGGGAGAUAGCUGGUUCUCCCCGAAAGCUAUUUAGGUAGCGCCUCGUGAACUCAUCUUCGGGGGUAGAGCACUGUUUCGGCUAGGGGGUCAUCCCGACUUACCAACCCGAUGCAAACUACGAAUACCGAAGAAUGUUAUCACGGGAGACACACGGCGGGUGCUAACGUCCGUCGUGAAGAGGGAAACAACCCAGACCGCCAGCUAAGGUCCCAAAGUCAUGGUUAAGUGGGAAACGAUGUGGGAAGGCACAGACAGCCAGGAUGUUGGCUUAGAAGCAGCCAUCAUUUAAAGAAAGCGUAAUAGCUCACUGGUCGAGUCGGCCUGCGCGGAAGAUGUAACGGGGCUAAACCAUGCACCGAAGCUGCGGCAGCGACACUAUGUGUUGUUGGGUAGGGGAGCGUUCUGUAAGCCUGCGAAGGUGACCUGUGAGGGUUGCUGGAGGUAUCAGAAGUGCGAAUGCUGACAUAAGUAACGAUAAAGCGGGUGAAAAGCCCGCUCGCCGGAAGACCAAGGGUUCCUGUCCAACGUUAAUCGGGGCAGGGUGAGUCGACCCCUAAGGCGAGGCCGAAAGGCGUAGUCGAUGGGAAACAGGUUAAUAUUCCUGUACUUGGUGUUACUGCGAAGGGGGGACGGAGAAGGCUAUGUUAGCCGGGCGACGGUUGUCCCGGUUUAAGCAUGUAGGCUGAUUGUCCAGGCAAAUCCGGAUAAUCAAGGCUGAGGUGUGAUGACGAGGCACUACGGUGCUGAAGUAACAAAUGCCCUGCUUCCAGGAAAAGCCUCUAAGCAUCAGGUAACAUUAAAUCGUACCCCAAACCGACACAGGUGGUCAGGUAGAGAAUACCAAGGCGCUUGAGAGAACUCGGGUGAAGGAACUAGGCAAAAUGGUGCCGUAACUUCGGGAGAAGGCACGCUGGUGUGUAGGUGAAGUCCCUGCGGAUGGAGCUGAGACCAGUCGAAGAUACCAGCUGGCUGCAACUGUUUAUUAAAAACACAGCACUGUGCAAACACGAAAGUGGACGUAUACGGUGUGACGCCUGCCCGGUGCCGGAAGGUUAAUUGAUGGGGUUAUCCGUAAGGAGAAGCUCUUGAUCGAAGCCCCGGUAAACGGCGGCCGUAACUAUAACGGUCCUAAGGUAGCGAAAUUCCUUGUCGGGUAAGUUCCGACCUGCACGAAUGGCGUAAUGAUGGCCAGGCUGUCUCCACCCGAGACUCAGUGAAAUUGAACUCGCUGUGAAGAUGCAGUGUACCCGCGGCAAGACGGAAAGACCCCGUGAACCUUUACUAUAGCUUGACACUGAACAUUGAGCCUUGAUGUGUAGGAUAGGUGGGAGGCUUUGAAGCGUGGACGCCAGUCUGCGUGGAGCCAACCUUGAAAUACCACCCUUUAAUGUUUGAUGUUCUAACGUUGGCCCCUGACCGGGGUUGCGGACAGUGUCUGGUGGGUAGUUUGACUGGGGCGGUCUCCUCCCAAAGCGUAACGGAGGAGCACGAAGGUUAGCUAAUCCUGGUCGGACAUCAGGAGGUUAGUGCAAUGGCAUAAGCUAGCUUGACUGCGAGCGUGACGGCGCGAGCAGGUGCGAAAGCAGGUCAUAGUGAUCCGGUGGUUCUGAAUGGAAGGGCCAUCGCUCAACGGAUAAAAGGUACUCCGGGGAUAACAGGCUGAUACCGCCCAAGAGUUCAUAUCGACGGCGGUGUUUGGCACCUCGAUGUCGGCUCAUCACAUCCUGGGGCUGAAGUAGGUCCCAAGGGUAUGGCUGUUCGCCAUUUAAAGUGGUACGCGAGCUGGGUUUAGAACGUCGUGAGACAGUUCGGUCCCUAUCUGCCGUGGGCGCUGGAGAAUUGAGGGGGCUGCUCCUAGUACGAGAGGACCGGAGUGGACGCAUCACUGGUGUUCGGGUUGUCAUGCCAAUGGCACUGCCCGGUAGCUAAAUGCGGAAGAGAUAAGUGCUGAAAGCAUCUAAGCACGAAACUUGCCCCGAGAUGAGUUCUCCCUGAGACUAUAAGUCUCCUGAAGGAACGUUAAAGACGAUGACGUUGAUAGGCCGGGUGUGUAAGCGCAGCGAUGCGUUGAGCUAACCGGUACUAAUGAACCGUGAGGCUUAACCUU
This 2901-nucleotide ribosomal RNA is filed under the name Klebsiella pneumoniae. RNAcentral's name for it is "23S ribosomal RNA". It matches the Rfam family "Bacterial large subunit ribosomal RNA". The record is from RNAcentral. Lineage: Bacteria; Pseudomonadati; Pseudomonadota; Gammaproteobacteria; Enterobacterales; Enterobacteriaceae.